RNAcentral lists this unclassified non-coding RNA (347 nucleotides) under uncultured fungus. RNAcentral's name for it is "sequence contains ITS1". The stretch from base 1 to 101 matches the Rfam family "5.8S ribosomal RNA", at positions 50 to 154 of the family's 154-position model. Lineage: Eukaryota; Fungi. The record is from RNAcentral.
GAAAUGCGAUACGCAAUGCGAAUUGCAGAAUUCCGCGAGUCAUCAGAUCUUUGAACGCAACUGGCGCUGGUGUAACAACCAGUAUGUUUGUUUCAGUGUGUUAAGGAAUCCUACAUCUCAAUGCGAUUGAUUUUUAAUUUUUGAAAAAACAACAAAAAUUAAUUAUCUCUCGUUAAACUUGGAGGGCGUUCAAGAAAGCUCCCCUCCCAUCGAAGUAGUCAGGUUAUUUAUACAUCUGAUCUCGUUGGGAAUUCAAAUGGGAAUUUCUUAAUAAUAAAAACUCCUUCAAAUAAAAUACAACCCCAAAACGACACCUGAAAUCAAGCAAGAAUACCCGCUGAACUUAA